GAUGAAGAACGCAGUGAAAUGCGAUAAGUAGUGUGAAUUGCAGAAUUCAGUGAAUCAUCGAAUCUUUGAACGCACCUUGCACCCUUUGGCAUUCCGAAGGGUAUGCUCGUUUGAGUGUCAUUGUACUCUCACUCUCCCGAUACUUUUGGAUCGGGAGUGGUGGACUUGGGUGCUGCUGCUUAACUGUGGCUCGCCUUAAAUGAAGUAGUGCAACUCUCGGUUGGACAUAGUACGGCGUGAUAAGUGUCUUCGCCGGCGCCUCAUUCGAGGGUGGCCGAUCGGGAGCUCUGUGCUUCAAACUGUCUUCGGACAACAUCUGACAACUUGACCUCAAAUCGAGUAGGACUACCCGCUGAACUUAAGCAUAUCAAUAAGCGGAGGA
Molecule: unclassified non-coding RNA, 382 nt
Filed under: soil metagenome
Description: partial contains 5.8S ribosomal RNA, internal transcribed spacer 2, and large subunit ribosomal RNA
Rfam family: 5.8S ribosomal RNA (bases 1-120)
Source: RNAcentral